AUUGUAGUCAUAUGCUUGUCUCAAAGAUUAAGCCAUGCAUGUCUAAGUAUAAGCAAUUAUACCGCGAAACUGCGAAUGGCUCAUUAAAUCAGUUAUCGUUUAUUUGAUAGUUCCAUACUACUUGGAUAACCGUGGUAAUUCUAGAGCUAAUACAUGCAAAAAACCGCGACUUCGGAAGCGGUGUAUUUAUUAGAUUAAAGACCAAUGCCCUUCGGGGCUGACAGGUGAUUCAUGAUAACUUCUCGAAUCGCAUGGCCUUGCGCCGGCGAUGGUUCAUUCAAAUUUCUGCCCUAUCAACUUUCGACUUUAGUGUAGUGGACUAAAGUGGUUACAACGGGUAACGGAGGGUUAGGGCUCGACCCCGGAGAAGGAGCCUGAGAAACGGCUACUACAUCCAAGGAAGGCAGCAGGCGCGCAAAUUACCCAAUCCCGACACGGGGAGGUAGUGACAAUAAAUACUGAUACAGGGCUCUUUUGGGUCUUGUAAUUGGAAUGAGUACAAUUUAAAUCCCUUAACGAGGAACAAUUGGAGGGCAAGUCUGGUGCCAGCAGCCAAUC
This 558-nucleotide ribosomal RNA is filed under the name uncultured fungus. RNAcentral describes it as "SSU rRNA". It matches the Rfam family "Eukaryotic small subunit ribosomal RNA", at positions 21 to 584 of the family's 1831-position model. The record is from RNAcentral. Lineage: Eukaryota; Fungi.